This 550-nucleotide ribosomal RNA is filed under the name uncultured Glomeromycotina. RNAcentral's name for it is "SSU rRNA". It matches the Rfam family "Eukaryotic small subunit ribosomal RNA", at positions 548 to 1098 of the family's 1831-position model. The record is from RNAcentral. Lineage: Eukaryota; Fungi; Glomeromycota.
UUGGAGGGCAAGUCUGGUGCCAGCAGCCGCGGUAAUUCCAGCUCCAAUAGCGUAUAUUAAAGUUGUUGCAGUUAAAAAGCUCGUAGUUGAACCUCGGGGUCUACCCAUUGGUCAGGCUUAAUUGUCUGCACUGGUGAGAUGGAUCUCUACCUUCUGAGGAACUUUCAUGCCAUUUAUUUGGUGUGAUGGGAAAUCAGGACUGUUACUUUGAAAAAAUUAGAGUGUUUAAAGCAGACUAUCGUCUGAAUACAUUAGCAUGGAAUAAUGAAAUAGGACGGACUGAUUCUAUUUCGUUGGUUUCUAGGAUCACCGUAAUGAUUAAUAGGGAUAGUUGGGGGCAUUAGUAUUCAAUUGUCAGAGGUGAAAUUCUUGGAUUUAUUGAAGACUAACUACUGCGAAAGCAUUUGCCAAGGAUGUUUCAUUAAUCAAGAACGAAAGUUAGGGGAUCGAAGACGAUCAGAUACCGUCGUAGUCUUAACCAUAAACUAUGCCGACUAGGGAUCGGACGAAGUUAAUUUUAUAAUGACGCGUUCGGCGCCUUACGGGAAAC